Molecule: ribosomal RNA, 400 nt
Filed under: phytoplankton environmental sample
Lineage: Eukaryota
Description: partial small subunit ribosomal RNA
Rfam family: Eukaryotic small subunit ribosomal RNA
Source: RNAcentral
AGCUCCAAUAGCGUAUAUUAAAGUUGUUGCAGUUAAAAAGCUCGUAGUUGGAUUUCGGGACGGCCCGGCCGGUCCGUCGCGAGACGAGUACUGGUCGGCCGUCCUUCCUCUCGAAAGCCCCGACUGCUCUUCAUUGCAGUGGUCGGGUAGUUCGGGACGUUUACUUUGAAAAAAUUAGAGUGUUCAAGGCAGGCUCACGCCCGAAUACAUUAGCAUGGAAUAAUGGAAGAGGACCUCGGUCCUAUUUUGUUGGUUUCUGGGGCCGAAGUAAUGAUUGAGAGGGACAGUUGGGGGCAUUCGUAUUUAAUUGUCAGAGGUGAAAUUCUCGGAUUUAUGAAAGACGAACGACUGCGAAAGCAUUUGCCAAGGAUGUUUUCAUUAAUCAAGAACGAAAGUACGC